Non-coding RNA from Cherax quadricarinatus, 119 nucleotides. The record is from RefSeq and is a predicted model, not a curated record. Lineage: Eukaryota; Metazoa; Arthropoda; Malacostraca; Decapoda; Parastacidae.
GAAAAAAAUUUUUUUUUAAUGGGCCCCCUUUUUUAAAAUUUUUUUUGGGGGAAAAAGGGGGGGGAAAAAAAAGGGGGGGAAAAAAUUUUUUCCCCCCCCUUUUUCCCUUUCCCAAAAAA